UACAGAGGUCCCAAGCGUUGUUCGGAUUCACUGGGCGUAAAGGGUGCGUAGGUGGUGAGGUAAGUCGGAUGUGAAAUCUCGGAGCUCAACUCCGAAACUGCAUUGGAAACUACCUUGCUCGAGGGUUGGAGGGGGGACUGGAAUACUUGGUGUAGCAGUGAAAUGCGUAGAUAUCAAGUGGAACACCAGUGGCGAAGGCGGUUGCCUGGAGCUUUGCUGACGCUGAGGCGCGAAAGCGUGGGGAGCGAGCCGG
This 253-nucleotide ribosomal RNA is filed under the name uncultured bacterium. RNAcentral describes it as "partial 16S ribosomal RNA". It matches the Rfam family "Bacterial small subunit ribosomal RNA", at positions 524 to 776 of the family's 1533-position model. The record is from RNAcentral.